Molecule: non-coding RNA, 3843 nt
Organism: Osmia lignaria (orchard mason bee)
Lineage: Eukaryota; Metazoa; Arthropoda; Insecta; Hymenoptera; Megachilidae
Source: RefSeq, a predicted model, not a curated record
CUUCUAUCCCAGAACCUUUCUAUUUGUACUACUUUCCUUGUAUACAAUCUUCCUUCACUGUCUACGCAUUCUUCUGUACGAAGUGUAUUCAUACUCUGUCUCUGGCGAGUAUUAACCACGCUUCCUCCUGAUUCUGAAGAAUUGAAACUCAUGUCGCAACUAGUGCAACUGUAAACUGCUUCCGGUUCUAUCUACAAAAGUUAAGUACAUUGUUAUAGCGAUUACAAUUUUAGCUAUAAUUAAAAUGAAAUAAUUUUUUUUAGAUUUAUACCUCGCAAAGUUCUUGCUUCACAUGUAAUAGCCCAUCUUCGUCUAAUUCACCUACAUCAUUUAUGUGAUCCAUAUUUAUCAGAGCAUUGGUGUCACCAUCAAGCAGUUCAGAGCCAUCAGGUAAAAUAGUAAUUACAUUUUUAUUGCUGCAUUUAUCAUCUGUUUUUGAAGUGGAAAUUGUAACUAGUUGGUCUUGGGACAAAGGUUUUUCUUCUGCUUUGCUAGUAGGAACUUUUUCCAUUUUAAAUUCCAAAGGAUUUUGCUCCAUCUCUGCCUCUUCAGUGUCCAUCUUUUCUACGACUUUGAUAUCUCCUGAUACGUUUGUUAGAAGUAAUAGUCAAAUAAAUAGAAUUGAUACAUAUUACGUUAGAAUUUUUACACACCAUUUUCGUCAACUUGUAUAGUUUGAGGCCCUCCAACUAUCAUGAUUCCACUGUCAUUUACCGUUGCUAGGAAACUUUGAUCUAUCCCCUCAACAUUUGCAUCCUAAAAUUAAAAUUAUUAAACAAAGACCAAAACAAAGGCCGGUAGAUAAAUUUGUGGGUGAUGCCAACCAUUAGCACCUCUGUGUCCGGUUCAGACUCCUGUUGAGCCUCUUGUCCAGGUUCAUGCUUGGGCUCAGGUGGUACAUCAUCAGAUUCAACACUCUGUCCACACCGAUCCAAAUGCUGAAUGAGUGCCAUUACCGAGUCGGAUCGCUGCGAACAACCAGGACAGUAUAGGUUGUCCGUCAUGCUUAAUAAAUGGUACUUUAACGACUGUGGAUUGUUAAACGUUUCGCCACAGCACAUCGGGCAAACAAGGUUCAACGAUCCCAUUAUCUUUUUGAUUUUCACGCUGACCUCGUAAAGGGUCUUCGGUGACUUUAACUUGACCCUAUAUUUUAUUAUUAACCUAAUUUGAUUUUGUUACGUUCGCCUAUUCUAGUCUUAAUUCGAAAACGGAACCGGCUUUCCGAUGAGAACCUAACCUGAUGAUGAAUUACAGAAAUGAGUGAAAUGGUCUAAACGCGUCUGGAUACUGAACAAUGUCAUAUUGUUUCGUCCUAAGAGGUGAGUUUUUCAAAGAACGUCUACUUAUUUGUAACCAAUUAUGUUACACUAAAUUAAACAGCACCUUCUUGUAAUAAAUGCAAUAACAAAACUCAUUAGAGACGAACUUCAGCGCAAACAAAUGCCGCACACAACAAUCAUGAAGUUAGGGAUGUGAUAAGUGAAUCGCGAAGUCGGCCAUUACAUGCGAGUUUUGCUAUAUAACUAUCGAAGUCAUAUUCGGGCUGUACCAUUUUCAAUUCAAUGAUUAUUUUAUUACGAUAUCAAUUAUGACGACUUUAUCUUACCUCUUUUUAUGAACGUGUUUAAUUAUCUCGUAUUACGAUCUGUGGACCGAUGCGGCUUGACAACAGUUAGAAACAAAUUAGAUGCUCAAUUGACAAAAGGCGCGCGUUAUGCUGAGAUUUUGUUUGAACAAACUUCACAACUGCAAAACUUCCCGCAAUUCAAAAGCAUUUGUCUGAAGUAUGCUCCAUAAUAGAUCAAUUUUUAUUGUCACAUCAAUUAAUUAUCAGAUUUUAUUUUAAAAUUGCAUCAAACUCGUUAUAAAAGGGUUAAAAAAUAAAAUAUGAAGGAACGACUUUUCAAAUAAUAAUAUAUAUUACUUAUUUGUCAACAUACAUAUAUUUACAUCGUCUUACUUAACAGUUACCACAAAUAUUAUCACACAACUUAAUAGUUUUGUAAUACCAUGAGUCAUUUCAUACCAUGCUUUCGCACAUGGAAUAUCAAUUUUCUUUUAACACUUCAAUCAGCAUGUUCAUGUUGAGCAUUGCUUUCACGCCAUGUAUUUUGAACUAAUUCUAUAAACUGCUGCCACCAUCUACUCUGUGAUGUAAAGUAUAAUCCACAGGCAGCAAUGAAGACCCAUGAAAGGACUAGACAAUAGUCAGUUUCAUUAGAUGGUGUACUGGAAACAGGACCAACAAAAUCCAAAGAUGUAACAUAUAAUGAUCCAUUUGGUUGUAAAUUAGUUAUGUGGGUUAUAAAUCUUGCAAAAGAUUCUAGUGUAUAGACGGUAUCAUUAAAUUUUGCUACUGGUUUCCCAUUGUGAACAAGCAUUAAUGUUGGAACUCCAACAAUUCCAUACUGAGCAUUGAAGCUGAAAAUAACAAAAAAUACAUGAAGUUAUAUCGCUUAAAUUAAUAAGAUAAAUAAAUAUAUUUUAUAGUAUUACUUUUGAUAUUUAAUAGCAUCAAUUGCUACAGCUUUGAUAUGUGGAAAUGAACGUGGUAGUGCAUUAAAGUGUGGUGCAGCCUGACUGCUAAAUAUACACCAUCUUGCAUAAAAUAAUACUAUUACACAUGUUCCUGGUAGCAUUCUACCUUCUUUGUCAUUUCUACUUCUAUUUGAUGGCCCAGGUUCUAAGAUCAAUAAUUUCAUUAAUCUGGUUGCAUUGACAAUCUGCAAUAAUAAGUGUUUGUAACUAAUUUUAUAUAAUUUAUUAAUUAAUUAUCUAAAUAUCUGAAUAUCCUACUUCUACUGGUCCAUAGACUGUGUCCAUCAAACAAUUGACUUUGGUCACAUUAGAGGUAGAAUUAUUUACUGUCACAUUUGAUUCAAUAGUUUUAUUUUCCUCUUUGACUCUUCCCUCUGGUAAAUCAAGCUCAGUCCCUUGUUCGGCGUUUUUAAAAGGAACUGCUUGUAUUCUUUCACAAACAUCCAUUCGCCCGAGGACAUUUAUCAUUUGAACUAAAUGGAUAAAAUAGGAUGAAUUCUUGUGUAGUAUUAUUAAUGCACAACAAAAAACAUUAAUGCCUUACCUAAAAUUAUGAUAAAUAAACACAAAUUCCUCCUAGAAACAUACAUUUUAUGUAUAUAACCUAAAAAUGUGUAUACAAGUUUCCGUUCAAAAAUUUGGAAUAAGCGUAUUAAAUUCACAAGUAAUUUAAACGAUUUUGCGUAAACGCACGAUAUUUAACGAACAGUCAUAAUUAAAAAGUAAUUGGCAGUAUGACACCUGUGACAAACGAAUUUAAGCAUUAUUUUUAUUUUCAUUCUCUAUAUAUUGACGAAACAAAGAUUCACUGUAAUUGCUGUAAUCGAUUGUUCGAGGUCGCGUCGAUCGCGUAUCUCGCAAAUCGAUUUAUUCUAUAGUUUGUUCUCCGUUCAUCUUGAGCGCUGAUGUCGCUCUUUUAAUACUCGUGUGAUUCCUUGUGAUUAACAUUGUUUGUAUCAUUAUUAAUUGUCAAUUCUAGAUAUGACAGCUUCACCACCAAAACCGGUGGGGCUGACAGGGAGUAAGGGCUUCAGACGCCUUUGCACACAGCCCGAAUAAAAGUCGGCACUGAGUGCGACCCCUGGCGUUGGCCACAUGAUAGGCACCCCAGAUGGGCACCAAUUUGUCAGGCGUGGAGGGCUUCAGGCCACUGAUUCGAGUAAAGGUAACUGCGGCACUGUUAUCAUCCGUUCGACCUAGAACGCAGUGAAACAGCAUCAGUCUUAUAGCGACCGCCGAGGGGUGCAGAUCUACCUGCUAAACAUACAUAUAUCUAUAUUUUAUUUUCUGCGUUCAUUUAAU